UGAGGAAUAUUGGUCAAUGGGCGCAAGCCUGAACCAGCCAUCCCGCGUGCAGGAUGACGGCCCUAUGGGUUGUAAACUGCUUUUAUACAGGAAGAAAAAUCUCUACGUGUAGGGACUUGCCGGUACUGUAUGAAUAAGCAUCGGCUAACUCCGUGCC
Molecule: ribosomal RNA, 157 nt
Filed under: uncultured bacterium
Lineage: Bacteria
Description: partial 16S ribosomal RNA
Rfam family: Bacterial small subunit ribosomal RNA
Source: RNAcentral